RNAcentral lists this ribosomal RNA (253 nucleotides) under uncultured bacterium. RNAcentral describes it as "partial 16S ribosomal RNA". It matches the Rfam family "Bacterial small subunit ribosomal RNA", at positions 524 to 776 of the family's 1533-position model. The record is from RNAcentral.
UACGGGGGGAGCAAGCGUUGUUCGGAUUUACUGGGCGUAAAGGGCGCGUAGGCGGCACCGCAAGUCGACUGUGAAAUCUCCGGGCUUAACUCGGAAAGGUCAGCCGAUACUGCGGGGCUAGAGUGCAGAAGGGGCAACUGGAAUUCUCGGUGUAGCGGUGAAAUGCGUAGAUAUCUGGAGGAAUACCGGUGGCGAAGGCGGCAUCCUGGACCGGCAUUGACGCUGAGGAGCGAAAGCCAGGGGAGCAAACGGG